GGGCCUCGCCCCCUUAGCUCAGUCGGCAGAGCACUUCCAUGGUAAGGAAGGGGUCAGCGGUUCAAGUCCGCUCGCGGGCUCG
Molecule: transfer RNA, 82 nt
Filed under: Bacillota bacterium
Lineage: Bacteria; Bacillati; Bacillota
Description: tRNA-Thr
Rfam family: tRNA (bases 8-80)
About the family: Transfer RNA (tRNA) molecules are approximately 80 nucleotides in length. Their secondary structure includes four short double-helical elements and three loops (D, anti-codon, and T loops). Further hydrogen bonds mediate the characteristic L-shaped molecular structure. tRNAs have two regions of fundamental functional importance: the anti-codon, which is responsible for specific mRNA codon recognition, and the 3' end, to which the tRNAs corresponding amino acid is attached (by aminoacyl-tRNA synthetases). tRNAs cope with the degeneracy of the genetic code in two manners: having more than one tRNA (with a specific anti-codon) for a particular amino acid; and 'wobble' base-pairing, i.e. permitting non-standard base-pairing at the 3rd anti-codon position.
Source: RNAcentral